UAGAAAAUAAGAAUGACAAAAUCAUAAUCCUUUCCUCUUCAUGCCUAAAAAUGGGGUAAAUGGCAGCUGGUAAAACUGGGAGAGGCUGAGAGAGCAAAUCAUUUUGCUGGAUGAAAACCAGGCACUCCGAGACGAAACAGCCCAGUGUGGAAAGAAGAGCAUUUCCUGGGCUUUUCUGGACCCUGAUGCCUCACAGGUGCCCCCAGAGGUGGAGCUGGCCCCCACAAAAAUGGAGGCUACAACACAUCCCGGGAAAUGUGACACAUAAGUCAUGGCAGUUUGAAUUAAUGUUGUUCAUGCCUCUUUAUUAUCUUGAAACGAAAAACUGUAAUUAAAAACCUCCAAAAUA
Long non-coding RNA from Hyaena hyaena (striped hyena), 349 nucleotides. RefSeq lists it as uncharacterized. NCBI's taxonomy places the organism in Eukaryota, Metazoa, Chordata, Mammalia, Carnivora, Hyaenidae. The transcript has 2 exons. The record is from RefSeq and is a predicted model, not a curated record.